This 320-nucleotide ribosomal RNA is filed under the name Kluyvera georgiana. Its description in RNAcentral is "bacterial SSU rRNA". It matches the Rfam family "Bacterial small subunit ribosomal RNA", at positions 412 to 724 of the family's 1533-position model. Lineage: Bacteria; Pseudomonadati; Pseudomonadota; Gammaproteobacteria; Enterobacterales; Enterobacteriaceae. The record is from RNAcentral.
AGGCCUUCGGGUUGUAAAGUACUUUCAGCGAGGAGGAAGGCGUUGUGGUUAAUAACCGCAGCGAUUGACGUUACUCGCAGAAGAAGCACCGGCUAACUCCGUGCCAGCAGCCGCGGUAAUACGGAGGGUGCAAGCGUUAAUCGGAAUUACUGGGCGUAAAGCGCACGCAGGCGGUUUGUUAAGUCAGAUGUGAAAUCCCCGGGCUCAACCUGGGAACUGCAUUUGAAACUGGCAAGCUUGAGUCUCGUAGAGGGGGGUAGAAUUCCAGGUGUAGCGGUGAAAUGCGUAGAGAUCUGGAGGAAUACCGGUGGCGAAGGCGG